GAUCCUAUGGUCUUGUACCGACGACAGAUCUUUCAAAUGUCUGCCCUAUCAACUUUUGAUGGUAGUAUCUAGGACUACUAUGGUUGAAACGGGUAGAGGGGAAUCAGGGCUCGAUUCCGGAGAGGGAGCCUGAGAAACGGCUACCACGUCUAAGAAAGGCAGCAGGCGCGUAAAUUACCCACUCCCAGCUCGGGGAGGUAGUGACGAAAAAUAACAAUACAGGACUCAUAUCCGAGGCCCUGUAAUUGGAAUGAGUACACUUUAAAUCCUUUAACAAGGACCAAUUGGAGGGCAAGUCUGGUGCCAGCAGCCGCGGUAAUUCCAGCUCCAAUAGCGUAUAUGAAAAUUGUUGCGGUACGUUCGUAGUUGAACUUGUGCUUCAUACGGGUAGCACAACAUACAUUUGUAGUGAGUACUAUACCUUUAUGUAAGUAAGCGUAUUAUCGGUAGAGUUAUUAUAUGUAAUUAAGUACUUGUACUUUUUAUACCCUUGCAAAAAGGGUAUAUUAAUUUUGGUCAAAAGUGUGCAACGCAUAGAAGGAAGCAUCUCUGACCAUAUAAAGUAUAUAUAUUCUUGAUCAGCA
Molecule: non-coding RNA, 584 nt
Filed under: Drosophila willistoni
Lineage: Eukaryota; Metazoa; Arthropoda; Insecta; Diptera; Drosophilidae
Description: Eukaryotic small subunit ribosomal RNA
Rfam family: Eukaryotic small subunit ribosomal RNA
Source: Rfam by way of RNAcentral